Molecule: long non-coding RNA, 795 nt
Organism: Uranotaenia lowii
Lineage: Eukaryota; Metazoa; Arthropoda; Insecta; Diptera; Culicidae
Exons: 3
Source: RefSeq, a predicted model, not a curated record
GGUUCAUUCCGAUUUAUUUUUUCAUUUAUUCAGAUUUUUGAACGCAAAAUUAGUGCCCAUAGUGAAAAAACUACGAUGGAGUCCACUGCUGCUGGUGCAGAAUCGAAGUCCAAUUAUAGCUGGUGUCGUGAUGGAAUAUUCCGCCUUCGAUCAGCCUCUAACGGAAAACCCGAAAGAAUUCUAACUCAUUGUGGAAAAUGCAGCGGGACUUUUCCUCGGAACGUUUUUUUAACCAUGAUCGAUCUUUUGAUUGUCGAAAAACAAAAUCGGUUCUAUACAGGAUGUCGACAAGAACGGGUCGUAGGUUUAUGUCUAGAAACGCUUCUUACCGAUUGAUGGUUUUCCAUGGAUUGGACUACAGCAAAGACAAUUGCUUAUGAGACAGCCACCAUCAUACAAUUUAAAAGGAAAUGAUGCAGCUAAAUAUUAUGUUACAACGACGAAGAUAUUUAGAAAGUUGAUAGAGAAGCUUUUAGUAAAGGAACAUUUCUUCACUAGGACGCCGGGAUGAACAAUAUUAGGUAGCAAAUGUGAGCUGAUAGUAAAAAUAAUUUAGUUCAGAAUUGGACAAAUUGCUAUCCUUCAAAUAUUAUUUUGUGCUGUGCUUUAAAAUGCUUUGUGUAAUUCGGAAAUUAAUAGCGAAAGUAGGUAUUUACAAAUUUGAAACCAAAAAUUUUCGACAAUAGGAACGUUGCAAAAAUGCAAAUUGAAAAAAAAUGGCAAUUUAUAAGUUUUUUGAAUGUGAAAUCAUAGAUUGCUAUUAGGAAAGUUUCGGAACUUAUACAUCCGAUGUAG